AUUAGGAAGACCCCUUGAAGACGACGAGGUAGAUAGGUUGGAGGUGGAAGUGCAGCAAUGCAUGGAGCUGACCAAUACUAAUCGGUCGAGGGCUUAUCCUA
This 101-nucleotide non-coding RNA is filed under the name Paenibacillus antarcticus. Its description in RNAcentral is "Bacterial large subunit ribosomal RNA". It matches the Rfam family "Bacterial large subunit ribosomal RNA", at positions 2824 to 2925 of the family's 2925-position model. The record is from Rfam by way of RNAcentral. Lineage: Bacteria; Bacillati; Bacillota; Bacilli; Caryophanales; Paenibacillaceae.